Molecule: long non-coding RNA, 521 nt
Filed under: Helianthus annuus (common sunflower)
Lineage: Eukaryota; Viridiplantae; Streptophyta; Magnoliopsida; Asterales; Asteraceae
Description: hypothetical non coding rna
Source: RNAcentral
AUAUUUCGAUGAUAUAUUUCUCUAUUUAUUUGCAAAACGCCAAAAAAAUACUAAAAAGGUUAUUGCUUACAAAACUCCAGAAAUAACAAAAAAUAUGUUUCCUGCUUAAUAUUUUAUUUUCUCCGUUAUUGUAUUUUGCCAUCUUGGUACGCAUAACGCCAUUUAAAAAAACGCCAAACUUAGAAGAUGGUUGUUAUGACGUUUUGAGCAAUCUACACACUUCGUCUCAUCCCGAUGUUUCCGCCAUCGGUUGGGGUGUGACAGAUGGGACGUCUAUCACCUAUAAACUGAUAAAGCUGAUCAAAAUAGUAAAUACAAAACAUUAACUGAAAAGACGGUUACUUUAUUACUAUCAUUUAUUACAAUAAAAAAAUCUCGCCUAAACUACGCGCCAAAAAACUCCUAUAAGAGAGGGGUCUAUACACUAUGAAUUGAUCACACCCAGAAAAACAAACGUCACAUCCUUUAGAAAACACUCACUUUAAAACGCCAAAAAAUGUUAGUUAAAAUAACCACAGAUG